AACGAACGCUGGCGGCAGGCCUAACACAUGCAAGUCGAGCGAGGACUUCGGUCCUAGCGGCGGACGGGUGAGUAACGCGUGGGAACGUGCCCUUUGCUUCGGAAUAGCCCUGGGAAACUGGGAGGAAUACCGGAUGAGCCCUUUGGGGGAAAGAUUUAUCGGCGAAGGAUCGGCCCGCGUUGGAGUAGGUAGUUGGUGGGGUAAUGGCCUACCAAGCCGACGAUCCAUAGCUGGUUUGAGAGGAUGAUCAGCCACACUGGGACUGAGACACGGCCCAGACUCCUACGGGAGGCAGCAGUGGGGAAUCUUAGACAAUGGGGGAAACCCUGAUCUAGCCAUGCCGCGUGAGCGAUGAAGGCCUUAGGGUUGUAAAGCUCUUUCAGCUGGGAAGAUAAUGACGGUACCAGCAGAAGAAGCCCCGGCUAACUCCGUG
Molecule: ribosomal RNA, 433 nt
Filed under: uncultured bacterium
Lineage: Bacteria
Description: partial 16S ribosomal RNA
Rfam family: Bacterial small subunit ribosomal RNA
Source: RNAcentral